GGAUAACACUUUUUGCUAUCUCCGACCAAUAACGCAGUGACACGUAGGAUAACUUUUCCACGUGUCAUUGUGUUAUUGGCCGGAGAUAGCAAAACAGUGUUAUCC
Molecule: microRNA precursor, 105 nt
Organism: Prunus persica (peach)
Lineage: Eukaryota; Viridiplantae; Streptophyta; Magnoliopsida; Rosales; Rosaceae
Rfam family: MIR6274 microRNA precursor family
Source: Rfam